GGUUCUUAUGUUUCCAGCGGUUUUCUCUGGGAUUAUUGUUGAAAUGUAUUGUUACUUAUAAUUUGGUCUUCAAGAACUCUACAUUUACCAUUCAGUAAUGUAGCACUCAAAGCUGCUUAAUUUGAACUAAGAAGCAGCUAGAAAUUGGGUUAUUUCGCUCAAGGAUGCCUGCAGGUAUGACAUUGGGAAUCGAACCAAGAACCAUGGCUUUCAGUGAUCCAUGGGGUCAAAGUUGGUUCGGAGGCCAAUGGAGUCCAGGCCCAGGCCUUCCUCCAUACUCCCCCUCCUAUGCUCUCACUACACUCCCCUCAGACCCCGGACUUACCGUCGAAACACACACAGAGCGACACAGUGAUGCAGUUCUUUCUCCUUCUUGCUCCGUUUUGACCCAAGACAAACAGGUGAUUCAGUGACCGGAAGAGAACAAAUAUUUGGGUCUGACUUGGUCCCUCAGCAGCCCAUGUCUGUGACUUGGAAGUGAGGGGAAGUGGAGUGUGGGUGUGUAUGUUGACUGUGUGACUCUCUGUGUGUGUUGGCUGUGUAUGCAUCGGUCACUGGUGGCUCUUGGACCAUGCUUCAAAAUUGCCCAAUGUUCUGUCAUGGUUAUGUGUGUGUGUCUGUGUUAGAGUGUAUAUAACCCUGUGUCUCUAUUUAUACUGAAGGGCAGGAGGAACAGCGGAAAGGAAAGCAGAAUGAAGAGACGUUUCCCCGACUCUCUUUAACCCCAACUGACCGUUGCUCAAACUCACACACCAGGACUCUGCGUGGCGCGUCGCUGCAAGGCUUUAUGGACGCCUACAGCUACACCCCCAACGUGGAGCCUCUCCUGGCCCUUGGGGGCCCCUGCCCUGGCGUCCUCCCAGUACCACGGCCUCAUGCAGAGCAGCCCCACCAUCUCCGUCUCCGUCAGCUACGACGCCGGGGACGAUGGCCCCGCGGCCGGCUACUACACGACCGGCGGGCCCCUGGCCAACGGGGGGGGGGGCCCCGGCGCUGGAGAGCCCGCGCAUCGAGAUCACCACGUACGGCCAGUUCCCCGGCGACGACGACCUCGACGGCGGCGGCGGCGGCGGCGGGGACGAGGAGGAGGGGGGGGGCCGAGGAGAGCUGCCUGCCCCUGGGCAAGCGGCUGAACUCCAUCGUCACGCUGACCCUCCCCAACGCCGACGGCUACCGGGACCCCAGCUGCCUCAGCCCGGCCAGCAGCGUGUCGUCGCGCAGCGGCCACUCGGACGCCUCGUCCUACGAGUCGGGCUUCUCCUACCACUACGACCACUCGCCGCAGAACUCGCCCUGGACCUCGCCCAGCGUCUCCCCCAAGGGCUCCACCCUGGCCCUGCCCGGCGGCGGCGGCGGCGGCGGCGGGCCCCGGGGCAACGGCGGCGGCUCCCCGCUCCACUCCUCCUCGCCCUGCGCCUCCCCCGGGACGGACCCCUGGGCGGGGGCCCUGCGGGGGUCCCGGCCCAACUCGCCCUGCGGCGCCAAGAGGAAGUACAGCUUCAACGGGGGCGGGACGGCGUCCCACCCGGCGCGGCCCGCCUCCUCCUUCCCGUACUCCCCCGGCGGCUCCCCGGGGCCCUCCCCCCGGGGCUCUCCCCGCCUCAGCGUGACGGAGGAGUCGUGGCUCCCCAACACCAACCAGUACACCAACUCGGCCAUCCUGGCCGCCAUCAACGCGCUGACCACCGACGGCGUGAUCGACAUGGGGGAGGGCGUGCCCGUCAAGGCCCGCAAGACCAGCCUGGACCCCGGCAUCAGCCUGAAGACGGAGCCGCGGGGGGGCGAGGGUCCGGGCUCCGGGGGGGAGCUCGGGACCCCUCGUGCGGCCGUCUGGCCCUGAAGAAGGAGAGCUACUGCGGGGGUUCCUGGACGUGCCGCAGCACCAGUACUCGUGGUCCAAGCCCAAGCUCUACGUCAGCCCGUCGCUGCCCGCCCUGGACUGGCACCUGCCCAGCAGCUCUGGGCCUACAGCCUGCAGAUGGAGGUGGAGCCGCGCUCCCACCACCGGGCCCACUACGAGACCGAGGGGAGCCGGGGGGCCGUCAAGGCUCUGGCGGGGGGGCACCCCGGUCGUCCAGCUCCACGGCUACAUGGAGAGCGAGCCCCUGA
Long non-coding RNA from Gadus morhua (Atlantic cod), 2109 nucleotides. NCBI's taxonomy places the organism in Eukaryota, Metazoa, Chordata, Actinopteri, Gadiformes, Gadidae. The record is from Ensembl.